AAUGAACGCUGGCGGCAGGCCUAACACAUGCAAGUCGAACGGAUCCUUCGGGAUUAGUGGCGGACGGGUGAGUAACGCGUGGGAACAUACCCUUUGGUACGGAAUAGCCUCGGGAAACUGGGAGUAAUACCGUAUGUGCUCUUCGGAGGAAAGAUUUAUCGCCAAAGGAUUGGCCCGCGUUGGAUUAGGUAGUUGGUGGGGUAAUGGCCUACCAAGCCGACGAUCCAUAGCUGGUUUGAGAGGAUGAUCAGCCACACUGGGACUGAGACACGGCCCAGACUCCUACGGGAGGCAGCAGUGGGGAAUCUUAGACAAUGGGGGAAACCCUGAUCUAGCCAUGCCGCGUGAUCGAUGAAGGCCUUAGGGUUGUAAAGGAUCUUUCAGUGGGGAAGAUAAUGACGGUACCCACAGAAGAAGCCCCGGCUAACCUCCGUGCCAGCAGCCGCGGUAAU
Molecule: ribosomal RNA, 452 nt
Filed under: uncultured bacterium
Lineage: Bacteria
Description: bacterial SSU rRNA
Rfam family: Bacterial small subunit ribosomal RNA
Source: RNAcentral